UAUCAGUUUAGACGUUCUUUGAAAGUGCGACUAUUGUUUUCAAAAUUCGUGAGCUCUUAAAACCUAGGUUUAUUACUACAUAAUACAGAUUCACACGUUGAUUAUUUGCAUCACAACAGCCAUUCACACAUUUAUGAUUUUGAAAGGCAGAUGUUUUAUAACUAACAUAAUGUUGGCAGUUUUGCGUUUAUGGCCUCGAAUGGCCAGUUUAGCGAUGUUUUAUCAUAGGAUUUACAACGUUGUGUCGCAAACCACAGAAACGAAUUGCAACCACUGCAAAAACGAUUCGAAAUUUGCGACCUGCUAAUUUUGGUUUGCCUAUAACCUGAAUCAUAAAAACUUAAGGGCCUAUGCUCUUACUAUAUCUUUUGUUUAAUUAACAGCACUCUUAUGUGAAGCAACACCAUAAUAAAUUCAACUACCGACGAUAAAAUUUCGAAGUGGGUCAUAUAUUACAACUCUACUGAAGAAAGAUGGCAAGUGCACGACGUUGCGUACCAUAAAAGUUAAAUUUAGGCGUCAUGACAACUGUUUUUCCGAACUACCAUUGUUUAUACGAAUGAAUUACCGUCAAUAGGGAAUGUAAAAAUUAGAACAUCGGUAAUUCAAAUUG
Non-coding RNA from Ciona intestinalis (vase tunicate), 613 nucleotides. The record is from RefSeq and is a predicted model, not a curated record. NCBI's taxonomy places the organism in Eukaryota, Metazoa, Chordata, Ascidiacea, Phlebobranchia, Cionidae.